GACGAACGCUGGCGGCGUGCUUAACACAUGCAAGUCGAACGGUGAAGCGCCUUCCUUUUUGGUGGGUGUGGAUGAGUGGCGAACGGGUGAGUAACACGUGAGUAACCUGCCCCCUUCUUCUGGAUAACCGCAUGAAAGUGUGGCUAAUACGGGAUAUUCUGGGUCUGUCGCAUGAUGGGUCUGGGAAAGAUAUUGUUUCGGUGGGGGAUGGGCUCGCGGCCUAUCAGCUUGUUGGGGGGGUGAUGGCCUACCAAGGCGGUGACGGGUAGCCGGCCUGAGAGGGUGGACGGUCACACUGGGACUGAGACACGGCCAAGACUCCUACGGGAGGCAGCAGUGGGGAAUAUUGCACAAUGGGCGAAAGCCUGAUGCAGCGACGCCGCGUGAGGGAUGGAGGCCUUCGGGUUGUGAACCUCUUUCGCCAGUGAAGCAGGCCUGCCUCGUUUGUGGGUGGGUUGACGGUAGCUGGAUAAGAAGCGCCGGCUAACUACGUG
This 494-nucleotide ribosomal RNA is filed under the name uncultured bacterium. RNAcentral's name for it is "partial 16S ribosomal RNA". It matches the Rfam family "Bacterial small subunit ribosomal RNA", at positions 28 to 507 of the family's 1533-position model. The record is from RNAcentral.